GCUGAAGUAAUUGCUUCUUAGCAUGGAAAUCACUUGUAAAAGUUUCACAGAGGGAGACUAAAUGCUAAAUACACAGGUUAAAGAUUUUGGCUAAGAUCGGAAGUUUCAUUCAGAAAAGGGAGAAGCAAGUGCAAGUGGAACAAAAAGGGCUUUCACAUUAAGAAGAGUUCUAUGGCUAGGAGAUGUGAAUGUAAAAUGAGAAAAACCCUUGUUUUCUAUAGGACCUGCUACUAUGAAUACACUUAGACUAAAUAUUUGUUGUACUCAUUAUUGGUUUAAUUAUAGUGAUAAAAUUCCAUAGCAAGAUUCUGGUAUAUAACAGUAGUAAAUGGAAGAAUUUUGAUCUUUAAACGGAAAACAGUAACAAUAUGAAACUGGCUCUAUUUCUUUUGCCAGAAGAAUAUUUUCUGGAAUUUCAAGCCUGUGUGCUUGAGCUCAUUGCUCCCACAUUUUCAAAAUGCCUAAGAUCAUGUACACAUCAAGGUGUGAGUAAGG
RNAcentral lists this long non-coding RNA (495 nucleotides) under Bos taurus (domestic cattle). RNAcentral's name for it is "long non-coding RNA NONBTAT022221". The record is from RNAcentral. Lineage: Eukaryota; Metazoa; Chordata; Mammalia; Artiodactyla; Bovidae.